CUUGUUGGUGAUCCAUUUUGAAUAUAGCAGUGUGUACAUGUCAAUCUCAAACUCCCUAACUAUCCCUCCUCAUACCCUUCCCCCUGGUAACCAUAAAUUCUCUCUAUGUCUGUGAGUCUGAAACAAUUGUGACUUUAGUAACAGGUUAACCAAUCAGAGCCUUCUACCAAGGAUGUCCAAUGCAGGAACCAGGGGCCCGAGGGAAGAGGAUUCUGGGACCAGGAGAGGCAUAAAACAGCGGUUAAGAUUCAGACUCUGGGGCCAGAAUGACUUUGAUUUAGUCCUGCCUCACCACCUCUGAGCUGCAUGAACUUGGGUAAGUUGCUUAACUCUGUUAAGCCUCAAUUUGAAUCUUUGAAAUUGAGAUAAUGAUUGUUAUCUCACAGGAUUAUUAUGGGAAUUAAACAAGAUCAUGUAUCUAAAGUGAUUUGUACAGCAUACAUGGUAUUAAACACUGCAAGAAUCAUAGCAGUCAGUAUGUCUAACUCUUUCUUUGGGGGAAUAAACUCUCAGGACUGACAUAUAUGCUCACAUACAUCCAGGACUAUUUACUUACUAUAGAGGUGUGUGAACAUGUCACACUCUUCCCUCCAAGAGCCAUC
RNAcentral lists this long non-coding RNA (602 nucleotides) under Capra hircus (goat). RNAcentral's name for it is "lncRNA (ENSCHIG00000007986.1)". Lineage: Eukaryota; Metazoa; Chordata; Mammalia; Artiodactyla; Bovidae. The record is from RNAcentral.